GAAAACCAAAAUAAGAGCUCAUGAGUGGCAGCAGAAGUGAAGCGAAGCUUAAUGAAGGAUAGAUCCAAUACACAACCAUCAGCAUCCAAGUGAAAUGCAGCCUUGAAACUGAGUGCUCUUGAUGAGCUCAUCUAGUUCUGACAUCAGCCUGGCUGAGAGCAAUGUACUGACUGUGCCACACUGCCAUGGGAGCUCUGAGAAGAUGCUGUUAGCUUCAGAUUCUUGCAAAGGACAGAGAAAUUGGCAACAGCUCUCAGAAAA
Long non-coding RNA from Pogoniulus pusillus (Red-fronted tinkerbird), 261 nucleotides. RefSeq lists it as uncharacterized. The record is from RefSeq and is a predicted model, not a curated record. The transcript is spliced from 2 exons. NCBI's taxonomy places the organism in Eukaryota, Metazoa, Chordata, Aves, Piciformes, Lybiidae.